AACAGAGAAGAUAAGCAGAGAGCCACAUUCUACUACAUAAACCAUGUCGACCGCCAUCGCUAACGGAGAGCAGAAGAGCAGGCACCAGGAGGUAGGCCACAAGAGCCUCCUCCAGAGCGAUGCUCUCUAUCAGUAUAUCCUCGAAACCAGCGUUUACCCCCGCGAACCCGCCGCCAUGAAAGAACUCCGUGGCAUCACUGCCAACCAUCCCUGGAACAUCAUGACCACCUCCGCCGACGAGGGUCAGUUCCUCAGUAUGCUUCUCAAGCUUAUCAAUGCCAAGAACACCAUGGAGAUUGGCGUCUUCACCGGCUACUCCCUCCUCGCCACCGCUCUCGCCCUUCCGGACGACGGAAAGAUCUUGGCAAUGGAUAUCAACCGUGAGAACUACGAGCUCGGGCUUCCGGUGAUCGAGAAGGCUGGGGUUGCCCACAAGAUCGAUUUCCGAGAGGGGUCAGCUCUUCCAGUGCUGGACCAGAUGCUGGAGGACCCCAAAAAUCAUGGUUCGUUUGACUUUGUGUUUGUCGAUGCUGACAAGGACAAUUACCUAAACUAUCACCGCCGGCUGCUGGACCUGGUGAAGGUGGGCGGGUUGAUCGGCUACGACAACACGCUCUGGAACGGCUCGGUUGUGGCCCCGCCAGAUGCGCCGCUGCGGAAGUACGUGCGCUACUACCGGGACUUCGUGUUGGAGCUGAACAAGGCCCUUGCUGCGGAUCCACGCAUUGAGAUCUGCCAGCUCCCAGUUGGCGACGGCAUCACCCUCUGCCGCCGCAUCAAGUGAUAUGUUGCUGCCUGCCUUGAUUUGGUGGAGAUUUGUAUUAAUUAUCUCGGGUGUUUCGUCAGUUCCAAUUGAAAAUAUAUGGUGGAUAAGUCCUGGUUGUACUAUUUCUAAUGUUUUCAGUCCUGAAAGGACUUUAUUAAGCAGCCA
Molecule: unclassified non-coding RNA, 931 nt
Filed under: Hevea brasiliensis (rubber tree)
Lineage: Eukaryota; Viridiplantae; Streptophyta; Magnoliopsida; Malpighiales; Euphorbiaceae
Source: RNAcentral